ACGCUCGACACCUACGGGAGGCCGCAGUGAGGAAUAUUGGUCAAUGGGCGCUAGCCUGAACCAGCCAAGUAGCGUGAAGGAUGAAGGCUCUAUGGGUCGUAAACUUCUUUUAUAUAAGAAUAAAGUGCAGUAUGUAUACUGUUUUGUAUGUAUUAUAUGAAUAAGGAUCGGCUAACUCCGUGUCAGCAGCCGCGGUAAUCUGAGCGGGCUGGCAAGGC
This 218-nucleotide ribosomal RNA is filed under the name uncultured bacterium. Its description in RNAcentral is "partial 16S ribosomal RNA". It matches the Rfam family "Bacterial small subunit ribosomal RNA", at positions 328 to 539 of the family's 1533-position model. The record is from RNAcentral.